UUAUCGGAGAGUUUGAUCCUGGCUCAGGACGAACGCUGGCGGCGUGCCUAAUACAUGCAAGUCGAGCGGACAGAUGGGAGCUUGCUCCCUGAUGUUAGCGGCGGACGGGUGAGUAACACGUGGGUAACCUGCCUGUAAGACUGGGAUAACUCCGGGAAACCGGGGCUAAUACCGGAUGGUUGUUUGAACCGCAUGGUUCAGACAUAAAAGG
Molecule: ribosomal RNA, 211 nt
Filed under: Bacillus siamensis
Lineage: Bacteria; Bacillati; Bacillota; Bacilli; Caryophanales; Bacillaceae
Description: partial 16S ribosomal RNA
Rfam family: Bacterial small subunit ribosomal RNA
Source: RNAcentral